UACGUAGGGUGCGAGCGUUAAUCGGAAUUACUGGGCGUAAAGCGUGCGUAGGCGGUUCGCAAAGUCUGAUGUGAAAGCCCCGGGCUCAACCUGGGAACUGCAUUGGAAACUAACGGGCUCGAGUGUGGCAGGGGGGGGUGGAAUUCCACGUGUAGCAGUGAAAUGCGUAGAGAUGUGGAGGAACACCGAUGGCGAAGGCAGCCUCCUGGGCCAGCACUGACGCUCAUGCACGAAAGCGUGGGGAGCAAACAGG
Molecule: ribosomal RNA, 253 nt
Filed under: uncultured bacterium
Lineage: Bacteria
Description: partial 16S ribosomal RNA
Rfam family: Bacterial small subunit ribosomal RNA
Source: RNAcentral